Molecule: transfer RNA, 68 nt
Filed under: Staphylinidae sp. BMNH 1274232
Lineage: Eukaryota; Metazoa; Arthropoda; Insecta; Coleoptera; Staphylinidae
Description: tRNA-Cys
Source: RNAcentral
AGCUUUAUAGUCAAAUAAAAAAAAUGACAUUAAAUUGCAAGUUUAAAAUUGGGAAAACCCUAAGGCUU